GUGAAUCAUCGAAUCUUUGAACGCAUAUUGCACUCUCUGGUAUUCCGGAGAGUAUGCCUGUUUGAGGGUAAUUAAAAAGAAUCUUUAACCAAUUUUUUUUGGUAAAAGGGAAUGAGCUCUCCGCGUUUAUAGCGGUAGUUUGAAUUAAAUGGUCAAGUCUCAUUUUAGUUGAGCUGCGUAAUAAUAUAAUUUCGCGAAAUCUUCAUUUAGUGACUUCCAAGUUUUGGUGCAUACAAAUUUGCUUUUUAUGCGAUAAAUAGAAAUUUUUUGAAUAUCAC
This 278-nucleotide unclassified non-coding RNA is filed under the name Ambisporaceae sp. Its description in RNAcentral is "partial contains 5.8S ribosomal RNA and internal transcribed spacer 2". The stretch from base 1 to 71 matches the Rfam family "5.8S ribosomal RNA", at positions 84 to 154 of the family's 154-position model. The record is from RNAcentral. Lineage: Eukaryota; Fungi; Glomeromycota; Glomeromycetes; Archaeosporales; Ambisporaceae.